Pseudoliparis swirei is the source of this 506-nucleotide long non-coding RNA. RefSeq lists it as uncharacterized. Lineage: Eukaryota; Metazoa; Chordata; Actinopteri; Perciformes; Liparidae. The record is from RefSeq and is a predicted model, not a curated record. The transcript is spliced from 4 exons.
GCACGGGUCCAUUCUGCAGAGCGUCGCGAGUGCACCUGGAACCAGCAGAGCCUCCUCGUAACCCGGCAACCAGCCACAGCGGCGACCAAUCGGCUCUCUGCGCGGCUCGGGGCGUCGGGGUCCGGUGGAAGGAUGGAGCUUCAGUCAGAGCUGCUGAAGGAGGGAGGAGACGAGGAAGGAGGACAGAAGGCACCGACGAAGAGGAGCCGAGAAGAAGACGAUGGCCGGGUCUCACCACCCAACAUCCUGGUGACGGAUCAUGGUGUGAAGGUCGCCAGUCACUACAACCGCCUGCAGGAAGUCGGUCUGGCUGCGUAGAAGUCGAAGCAAAAUCUUCUUCAUGAGGAACUUCAACAACUGGCUGAAGAGCGUCUUGAUCGGGGAGAUCCUGGACCAGGUCCGGGGGGCGGGACCUCGGCAAGUCUCUGUGCUGGACCUCGGCUGUGGAAAAGGAGGAGACCUGCUGAAGUGGAGGAGAGGAGGGAUCGACCACCUGGUCUGUGCAG